Amblyraja radiata (thorny skate) is the source of this 238-nucleotide long non-coding RNA. RefSeq lists it as uncharacterized. The record is from RefSeq and is a predicted model, not a curated record. The transcript has 3 exons. Lineage: Eukaryota; Metazoa; Chordata; Chondrichthyes; Rajiformes; Rajidae.
GAUCAAUUUAUUAUGGUGAACAAGGAAAUGGCAAAUGUGUUGAACAGUUACUUUGUAUCCGUCUUCACUAGGGAGGACAUAAACAAUCUUCCUGAUGUACUAGUGGUCAGAGGAUCUGCGGUGACGAAGGAACUGAGGAAAUCAACCUUAAGCCGGAAAUGGUGUUGGGUAGACUAAUGGGACUGAAGGUUGAUAAAUCCCCAGGGCCUAUUUGUCUGCAUCCCAGGGUACUUAAGGA